RNAcentral lists this ribosomal RNA (494 nucleotides) under uncultured bacterium. RNAcentral describes it as "bacterial SSU rRNA". It matches the Rfam family "Bacterial small subunit ribosomal RNA", at positions 1 to 485 of the family's 1533-position model. The record is from RNAcentral.
AUUAGAGUUUGAUCCUGGCUCAGAAUCAACGCUGGCGGCGUGCCUAACACAUGCAAGUCGAACGCGAAAGGGGCUUCGGCCCUGAGUAGAGUGGCAAACGGGUGAGUAACGCGUGGGUGACCGCCCUCGAGUGGGGGAUAACGUUCCGAAAGGAGCGCUAAUACCGCAUGACAUCCUGCCUUUGGACAGGCGGUGAUCAAAGCUGGGGCCGCAAGGCCUGGCGCUUGAGGAGGGGCCCGCGUCCGAUUAGCUAGUUGGUAGGGUAAUGGCCUACCAAGGCGACGAUCGGUAGCCGGCCUGAGAGGGCGGACGGCCACACUGGGACUGAGACACGGCCCAGACUCCUACGGGAGGCAGCAGUGGGGAAUUGUUCGCAAUGGGCGCAAGCCUGACGACGCAACGCCGCGUGGAUGAAGGUCUUUCGGAUUGCAUCCUGUUGACCGGGAAGAAUGCCUUUGGGGCUAAUACCCCCGAAGGGUUACGGAACCGGUUGA